GAGCACAAGGAAGACAUUAAGUAAACAGCAUGUAAAUGCAUGAGAUUUAGGAAGAACCUUGCUUUUAACAUCCGAGUUCUUUAAAAAAAAAAAAAAAUACAGCAGGAUGUCACAUUGGCCAUCACAAUAUUAAGUGAAAAAUCCAUUCCAAGCUGCAAGCAUAAUAUUGAAAACAAUGUCCACUAUCUACAAAGAAAGUCUUCCAUUAAUUGAAAGUG
RNAcentral lists this long non-coding RNA (218 nucleotides) under Anas platyrhynchos platyrhynchos (common mallard). RNAcentral describes it as "lncRNA (ENSAPLG00000024938.1)". The record is from RNAcentral. Lineage: Eukaryota; Metazoa; Chordata; Aves; Anseriformes; Anatidae.